Molecule: ribosomal RNA, 461 nt
Filed under: uncultured bacterium
Lineage: Bacteria
Description: bacterial SSU rRNA
Rfam family: Bacterial small subunit ribosomal RNA
Source: RNAcentral
GAUGAACGCUGGCGGCAUGCUUUACACAUGCAAGUCGAACGGUAACAGGCCGCAAGGUGCUGACGAGUGGCGAACGGGUGAGUAAUAUAUCGGAACGUGCCCUAGAGUGGGGGAUAACGUAGCGAAAGUUACGCUAAUACCGCAUACGAUCUAAGGAUGAAAGUGGGGGAUCGCAAGACCUCAUGCUCGUGGAGCGGCCGAUAUCUGAUUAGCUAGUUGGUAGGGUAAAAGCCUACCAAGGCUACGAUCAGUAGCUGGUCUGAGAGGACGACCAGACACACUGGAACUGAGACACGGUCCAGACUCCUACGGGAGGCAGCAGUGGGGAAUUUUCCGCAAUGGGCGAAAGCCUGACGGAGCAAUCUCGCGUGGGGGAUGACGGCCUAUGGGUUGUAAACCUCUUUUUUCAGGGAGGAACAAAAUGACGUGUACCUGAAGAAUAAGCAUCGGCUAACUCCGUG